UUAUGUUCAAUAGGGAAAAAUGCGGGUCGUGUUAGAAUAAACGUUAAGGCAUUUUAAGCUUGACUAUUCGAUAAGAAUAAGUAUAGCUAUUGUAGUUUCCCGGGCGUCGGCGUAACCACUUAUGAUAAAGUUUUUGUAAUACCUCAAAUAUUUUCAAAGUCCAUUGACAUAUGGCUUUGAAACUUUGCACAUUUGUUCACCAUCAUGACCCCAUCCGGUAGACUGUAUGAAGCAUUUUGACAGAAUUAUGCCCCUUUUUCGACUUAGAAUUUACGUUCAAGUUUUUGUAAUAGUUAAAAUAUUUUCAAAGUCCAUUGCCAUAUAACUUGUUCCCCAUCAUGGCCCCAACCUGUAGACAGGAGGAGGUAACUGUAUCAAGCAUUUUGACAUAAUUAUGCCCCUUUUUCGAAUUAAAAUUUACGUUAAAGUUUUACAUCUUACAUGUUCUUAAUCAACUAUUACAACAUUAUAAAACACUUAUUUCCAAUUUCAAUAGAAUUAAAAAAUUAUUAAUUUCUGAGGAAUUCUGUGCCUUUACAAUGUCAUUCUAUUCUUUAUACAUAAAAACAUUCUUGUGAAGCUUGGGACCCAUAUUUAAUCAACAAUCUUUUAUUCCUCAUUCAGUGUAAUUAUACCUCACAGAUGGAACUGGCAUGGUGAUGUUAAAUCUGUGUCAACAUCUUCCAACUGGUUUGUCAGAUUGUAAAUGAAUACAGUCAAACUGUUGUACUUUCCUACAGACAGCUCUUGUUUUAGUUAAAGCCCAUUAUGCCUCCGAAAUAAAUAAAAAUUUACUUCUUUAGAAAGGUCAAACAUAAGUUUUUUAACAUUAGCAAAAUGUGACUUCCAUACAAAGUACUAAAUUACUAUAAAUGUGCUAAUUGCCAAAAAGCAACAGAAGAAGAAGACAGUUCAGGUAAUUGCCCAAUGUGUAACUUAAAACUAUAAAAUAAUACCAAAAGUAAGAUUUUCAGAAAUAAAAAUGAAAGCAUUUCUGGGGCAUAAUGAGCCUGUAAUAAAAAUUGUUGUUAACUUUGAUUUAUUCCUUAUAGAAAAUAGUAUUGGUGUUCAUGCAGAGAUGUGAUAUAAUAUUUACUGUAGGAAAGAAAGAAAAGAGAGGGAAGAGAACUUAUUGAAGCAGAGGAAGCUAAACAAAGACAGAAAAUUGAAGCACAUAAACAAAUGUUACAGGAAAGAAAACCGCAAGGAGGAGCUAAAGAAUGAAAUUCCUCCAGAACCUGAGAAUGGUCAUGCAGAAUCUGUUUGUGUUGUUCUAAAACACCUAAUGGAACAAGAAUAGAGAGGCUGUUUUUGAAGUCUCGGUCAUUAAAAUAUCUGUAUUAUUUCACAUUCUGUCAUGAAGAUUGUCCGGACGAUUUCCAUAAUGUUACUAACUUCCCGAGAAAGACAUUACCAUGUGAACCAACAAGUGAAUAUCCUGAACCAAUCACAUUUGAAGAAGCUGGAUUAGGAAAGAAUGAAAUGCUUUUUGUCCAAGAUAAUGAAUCUUGAAUGACAGAUAAUAAUUAUGAUAUUCUGUGAUAUUAGAACACAAAACUAUGUUCAUGCUUGUCCGUUUUCCUGUUGUGAUCAUUAUCUUACAACCAGUUGGUCAGAUUGUUAUUUGAAAUGAGACGGAAUUUUGUUUAAAAUGCCACCAUGAUCCACCAAAUUGUUGAGGAGUUAUUGCCCUUUGCUAUUUACAAUGAUUUAAAAAUAU
Long non-coding RNA from Ruditapes philippinarum (Manila clam), 1720 nucleotides. RefSeq lists it as uncharacterized. The transcript has 3 exons. The record is from RefSeq and is a predicted model, not a curated record. Lineage: Eukaryota; Metazoa; Mollusca; Bivalvia; Venerida; Veneridae.